GUAUUUUAGUAUGUAUGCAUGCAUGUCAGUGUGUGUGUAUGUAUGUAUGUUUGUAUGAAUCUGUAAGUCAGUAUGUAUGGAUGUCUGUCAGUAUGUCCUUAUGUGUGUUUGUGUCUGUAUGUAUGUUAGUAUGUGUAUGUGUGUCUUUAUGUGUCUGUUUCAGUAUGUAUAGGAAUUUGUUUUAAAAAAAAAAAAAAUAUAAGGAGUCUCACUAUAGUCCGGCCCCCAGCAAUGUCUGAGGGACCGUGAACUGGCCCCCUGUUUAAAAAGUUUGAGGACCCCUGGGUUAGGGCUUCCAUCCAGUUUCAUUAGACACACAUGCACUAAUCAUACUCAAAAACUUAACUAUAAAGAAGUCCAUUCAAAUUAUUUUCAGAGCAGAAUUUAUUAAGAUAAUUUAAACGGCAACUGCGUUUUUUCCCCAAUAAUUACAAAGUUUAAAAGUUGACUGUACAGAACCAGUUUUUUACAUUGAAGUUUACAGUUUAUGCAACUGCCUGUGAGGAACCUGAGGUUAGUGUAGAAGGUUGAGACAGCUGCAGACCAUACAUUAUAAUCCCUGUCUGUUGCUGCUGUCAGAGGCAAGUAACGUAACGCAUAGCUUUGCGGGCCCGAUGGAAGCAGAUCUGUUAAACAGUUAUAUGCACAGCUUUCCUGGCAUUGGUAAUCCAUAACAUUAAAAUCCCUUUACAUCCGAUUUGAGAAGUUAUUUGUGUACUUUAAAGUUCAGAGAUGCCUUCUGUCAAGGCAGGUCAAACAAACAAUACUGUAAUCAUUUUGGUAAACAUUUUGUCCUGUUCAGGUGACAGCUGAUUUGGGUACAAAGAAUCAGCCCAGAAAAAGAUAACUUUACAAAUAAUAAACACAUGAUAAGAAUCAAUUAAAACAACAUGUAACAGUCAAGGUAAAAAAUAUAAAAAUUAAAUAGUAAUUAAAUUUUCUCCUUACAUCAUUAUACUGGUGGGGAUAAGAGAUUAUGAAUGGAACAACAUUAAGUAAAUAUGGCUGUAAUAAGAGGAAGAUAUUUGACACAUUUUUCAGUCAAAAGUGGCCUAUAGGUUUAUAGAAAAGAGAUAUAAGGCAAUGUAUACAAGGACAUGCUAAGAUAUUCAUGUAUAUAAAUAUAAUAUGAUAAAUAUUUUGCCAACAAUAUAUAUAUGAAGGGGUACAUCUAGGGAAAAUACAUUCAUGCACCCAUAGGGCGUGCAGAAAAAGGUAGUACAUUACUAUCAAAGGGCACAACAGAACUAUGCGCUUCAAAUGACAGAACAAUUUAAGCAUAAUGCAAGAGUUUAAAUUAUUUAAUCUUCUACUAAGCACACGACAAAUGAAUGGAAGUACACAGCAGAAGCGAACUGGCAGAUUCUAAUUCAACUUGAGACAUCUGAGUGAUAAGGAAUCAUAAUUAUUUCAAUGUAUUCCUGAAAGAGGGUUAUAUUUUCAGUCUCUGUCCAGGUGCAUUUUACAUGCACACUUAAAGGACCACUCUAGGCACCCAGACCACUUCAGCUUAAUGAAGUGGUCUGGGUGCCAGGUCCAGCUAGGGUUAACCCAUUUUUUCAUAAACAUAGCAGUUUCAGAGAAAUUGCGCAUUCAGCCGCAUGGGAGGAGAAGAGGAGGAUCGGAGGAGAGCUCCCCGCCCAGCGCUGGAAAAAGGUAAGUUUUUUCCCCUUUCCAGAGCCGGGCGGGAGGGGGACCGUGAGGGUGGGGGCACCCUCAGGUCACUAUAGUGCCAGGAAAACGAGUAUGUUUUCCUGGCACUAUAGUGGUCCUUUAAGGAAAUAAAAAAAAGGGCACAGACUUUACUGCACUAUUCAAUAAUAAACACACUACUGCUCUCUGCAAUUGGGACUGAUGUAUAGACAUAUCUGCCAGAUUUUGGGGAAAUUUGGAAAAAUAGCCAAUUUUACAUUGUUCCUCAUUCUUUCCUUGUUUUCCAGCAUCCAAGCAUUUAUUGGCUCUGAAAUCUAUUUUUGGUUAUACAAUUGAAAAAAAAAUUAUGACAAUAUAGUUUAAAAUAAGAGACACUUUGAAAAUUAAAGAGUUAAAAUAAUUUCCGAAGGUAAGGAAUGGACUACUUUAUUUUAUGAACCUUCUUAUCUGGGCUCAGUCAAAAUGUUAAAGUGACACGAUUACUCACCACCCCUCAAAAAUAAGUAUUUCAUAAGCAUAGAAUUUUUAAGAAAUAUUAAUUUUGACUGUUGGAAUUUCAUUGAAAUUACAACCCAGUCAAGAGAUUUACAGACUUCUUUGAGAUAGAUUUGGGCAGAGCUACAGAGUCAAUCCCGACAGCAGCCAGGGAAUUAGCUCAGUCUAUGAAGGAUUCUGCGGUCUUGCUGGAUCCUCCAUAGAUUUUACUCUUGAGCAUAUACGAGAGUACAGCAGUGACAUUGUAGCUGAAGAGAACACAUCAGAACAAGAUUAUGACCCACUCGAGGGACAGGUUCACGUAAGUAAAUCUCACCUCCACCUGUCUUCCAGCUGUGAUGUCACCAUGGGGUGUCUUUGCAAAUUCAUCAAAGUCCCCCAAAAAUGACAGUACGGUUUAAUUAGCUGUAGCAAAAUGCUACCUAGUAUGCAUACAUUCCCAUAGGAAUAUUUACUGCCCUUUAAAGUAGUAUCACAAAUUGCUUCACAAUAAAAGAUAACACAUGUAGCUGUGAAGGCAAGUAGGGACUUAGAAUACAUAUUAUAUAUUAUGCAAAACAUAGUGUGCCUACUCAUGAUUUAGAUUCAGGAAACUCCCAAGAUGUAAUAAAACAAAACAAAAAAUAAAACAAACUUGCCUUUUUCCAGUGUCGAGACUCACUCCAUGUAAGCCACCAGCUUAUUGUCCAAUUCAAAUGCUUCUCAUACGGAAGUAAUGAAUCCAAACCUUCCCAAUGAUAAGCUUCAGAGGACAUUCAAAGUCCUCAAGAAUGCAUGAGGACAUUGCAUGUCACAAAGUCUGACUGUUAUAGCAGUGGAAGCACCAUUUAGUAGCUGUCAGAAAACAACCUCCAGAGCUUCGUUUAGCCCUGAAAAGGUAAACAUCUAAAAAUGAUCUAGGUGCCUAAAAAGGCUGCGCAUAAACACUAUGCAGUUCACAUGAAUACAAGGUGGACAACAUUACAUAACAUUCAGAACUGUGUCAAGUUCUAUACCUUCUUAAAUGCAUAACUGAUGUGCGGUGGUAUCAAAAGCCAGUUAUCACUUAUGGGUGAUGGCUCAUAGGAAACAUUCAAGGCAAGGUAGUCAAAUAUUUAAUGCAUAAAACCAAGUAGUCUCAACAUGAUUUCAUGUAAUUAUUUUGAUUGGGAUUUAAAUCCAUUUAGGUGUGAUGUAUAGGCAGGAUUUUGUAAAUACUCAAAGAGGUCCCAUCAAAGCACCACAGCAAUUUUGCAUCAUUGCACAUGUUGUGGUAAAGAAAGUACUCUGCAUUUUCAAUUAUGAGAGUGGCUUAUAACAGAGGGUUUAUUGGAGAAGAUCAGACCCCGACUGGUGGAGGCUCUUCAUUUUGACAAUAGUGUUCCUUUACCAAUUCCAGUACAGCAAAGAUAUGGUUUUGAACUCUAAAGUAAUACUUUUCCCCCCAAAAAAAAUCUUUUAAAAAACCAUUUUGGAUAUUAAGAGGGAAAAAUUGAGCACUGUUCUGGGCUUUGAAGAGCUAGACACUCCUCAGUGUGGAAUGUGUGAAAAGAGUUAAGGGACACUCCAGACCUCUAAAGCACUUUAGCUUGCUGAAAUGCUUUAUGUGUGAAGUGUCUCCUCUUAUAUUUUUUUACGAAGAGGUGCAGAUUUCAAUAAACACUGGCAAUUUUUUAAAUUAACCUAGUUGCACCUUCUCUGGCUUUCAAGUAGACAACUGCUCCUGUUACGUCAUGGUUUGGUUAGCUCAGUGGAGCCACGUUCAAGAGGCAGGCAAUUGACCAGAGCACUUGCCUUGCAAAAAAAAUAAAAUAAAAAGCAGCCGCUUUUAAAUUGUCCAGUCUCAGAAAUUCAGGGCUGGGAAAGAUAAAAUGAGAACUUGCAAAGGUAGCAGUGAAAAGAAAUGCAGCUUUGUAAACUGUUUUAGGUAUAAGCCUAACGAACAAAGUAAAUGCAUGGAUGCUUUCAUUUAGGGAUAUAUCUACUAAACAGUUUUGUUUUGUGUAUAUGGGCAGUAGAGAGCCCUUUUAAACAUUAACUUAUCUGCAAGGAGUAUGGGAUAUGUAUCAAGAUAACACAGUAAACAAGGUUUAGACAAAGGCUAGCCAACGUUCCCUGGUCUGCGCACAAAAACAAAAUUAUAUUUAAUGGAG
Molecule: long non-coding RNA, 4280 nt
Filed under: Pelobates cultripes (western spadefoot toad)
Lineage: Eukaryota; Metazoa; Chordata; Amphibia; Anura; Pelobatidae
Source: RNAcentral